This 498-nucleotide unclassified non-coding RNA is filed under the name Hevea brasiliensis (rubber tree). Lineage: Eukaryota; Viridiplantae; Streptophyta; Magnoliopsida; Malpighiales; Euphorbiaceae. The record is from RNAcentral.
AAACAAUAUAUAAUAAUAUUAACUGUAAAAAAUAUUAAACUAUGAAAAAUAAAGGAAUAAUAGGGAAAAAAAAUUCAAUUAUGAAUUAUGUUCAUAAUCUUCUCCAAAAUGCUGACUAGAACUCAAUUAUUUAUUUAAUGCAUUUAAUGCAUUUUAGCCGAGAACCAAGUGGAAGUAGGUAAAAAAUAAUAAUAAAAAAGCAGAGCAUAUGGUAUUUCUCUUGAAAACCAGUUACAACAUUUAGUGGAGGAUGGGCCCACGAUGAUGGACCGCUAUGAGAAACAACAAUGAAAACCUAUUUUUCCAUUUUUUGCUUAUUUUUUUCAAGUUUAAACACGAAAGGGAGAAAAGUAAAAAUUACAUGAAACAACAAUGCUCAACCAAAUGAGUUUCCUUUCUUUUUUUUCCAAGAAGAAGAAGAAGGCUAAAUUGAAAUGGUCCCAAAAGUCCGCUUUACUUAUCAAUUCUGGUUUUUGUGUCCCCCUUUUUUCUAAAAAA